This 379-nucleotide ribosomal RNA is filed under the name uncultured bacterium. Its description in RNAcentral is "bacterial SSU rRNA". It matches the Rfam family "Bacterial small subunit ribosomal RNA", at positions 790 to 1167 of the family's 1533-position model. The record is from RNAcentral.
GUAGUCCUAGCUGUAAACGGUGCACGUUUGGUGUGGGAGGCAACCCCUUCCGUGCCGAAGCUAACGCGAUAAACGUGCCGCCUGGGUAGUACGGUCGCAAGACUAAAACUCAAAGAAAUUGACGGGGACCCGCACAAGCGGUGGAGUAUGUGGCUUAAUUCGAUGCAACGCGAAGAACCUUACCAGGGCUUGACAUGUAUUGUAACCCCGGUGAAAGCCGGGCAGCGUAGAAAUACGCGCUUUACACAGGUGCUGCAUGGCUGUCGUCAGCUCGUGUCGUGAGAUGUUGGGUUAAGUCCCGCAACGAGCGCAACCCUUAUGAUUUGUUGCCACCGGUUCAUUCCGAGCACUCAAAUCAGACUGCCCAGAUUAACUGGGA